CAGUUAUCUAACUCUCUUUGCCUCUCUCAUUGCAGGUUUUACUUGUCUGCUUUGUUACAAGCACUGUCACUUACGGAUCAAUGGCAGUUCUGGGUUACCUUAUGUAUGGAGAACAUUUGAGGUCUCAGGUGACGUUAAACCUUCCCAUCAGAAAAAUUAGUGCAAAAAUAGCAAUAUACACCACUCUAGUAAAUCCCCUGACCAAGUAUGCAGUUAUCACUACUCCAAUUGCUAAAGCUAUUGAGGACACAUUUCGUUUAGGCAGCAACAAAUCUCUCAGCAUCCUCGUCAGAACACUAGUUGUGAUCAGCACAUUGGUUG
RNAcentral lists this unclassified non-coding RNA (321 nucleotides) under Hevea brasiliensis (rubber tree). Lineage: Eukaryota; Viridiplantae; Streptophyta; Magnoliopsida; Malpighiales; Euphorbiaceae. The record is from RNAcentral.